This is an RNA transcript of Gossypium raimondii (Peruvian cotton), 3586 nucleotides long. It is a transcript of the gene named protein ALP1-like, with no coding region annotated. The record is from RefSeq and is a predicted model, not a curated record. The transcript has 6 exons. NCBI's taxonomy places the organism in Eukaryota, Viridiplantae, Streptophyta, Magnoliopsida, Malvales, Malvaceae.
UUUAUAGCUUUCUGCUUUAUUAUUUGGAUUUCUUUUAACUAGUAUCUCUGCAUUUGAAAACUUACUCAGGCUUUGUGCUUUUGCAAUUCUUGCUUAGCACAAGCAUGAAUCUUAGUCCAUCUUAAUAAUUUGAUAGUCAAUUGUUUGUAUGAUCUGACUCUGAGGUUGUAGCUAAUGUGGGCUGGUUUUUUUAAUCAUUGCUGACUUGUAUUGAUAACAUUUGCAUGAGGAUGGACCAUCUUACCAUAUUGACUUCAUAUAUAUAUUAUGCAUAUAUGUGUGCUCAAAUCAUUGGUGAUUGCUUACUACAGUGAGUCAAUGAUAUUAUAUUUAAUUUAAAUCUAAUUUGAUCUAGUAUGCUUCAUUCAUUUAUAAUUUCAAAGUUUCAAUUUUUUUAAUAUCGAAUUGGCACAAUGAAUCUCGAAUAUUUAAUAUUUAAGUUUUUAGUUGUAACUUUCUACUGGUUUUCUUUGUUAUUAGUCUGUCCCUACAUUUUGAAGGCAACGAUAAUUGAGUUUCUAUUUUCUAAGGUUGUAUAAUAAUUCUCCUUAAAAACUAAUGAAAGCAUGAUCAUAUUUUGUACCUAUCUUCAUCUGUUUUAUGCAAUUUAAAUUAAGGGUAUUGUUCAUAAUGUUGAUAGUUGAUUGGACAGAGACAUUAUAACUUGAUCACUAGUCCAUCGUAAGAUUUUUGUAUUUAGUUGAAGGCAAUCAUUCAUUACCCUCAUUUUCCACUGGUUUUCAUCUAUUUUGAUUGAUUCAAAAGUUGCAAAUUUUAUCUGGCAUUUACAUGGUUGCUAAGGACAUUUUCUUGGAAUGAUUAGUUCUUUAUCCAUUUCUAUUCUCAUUUUCCAGGUUUCAUCUAUUUGAUUUCUUCAGAAGCUGAUAAUGUUCAUGUUUCUCUUCUGACAACUUUUUUUUCACUGUUUCUCGAUGCCAUGUUCAAUUGUAAGUAGUGCAUGUUGUAUCUUAUCAUGAUUUAUUGAAUUAUUGUGGUUUUGAACUUGUAACAUUGUGUUUCUCAUUCUUCCUUGUUUGGUUGUUCAUAAAAUUGAGGGAAAAUGGGUAUUUAACUACUUGAUAGAACUUGUAACAUUGUGUUUCUCAUUCUAGUCUAGUCAUCUAUGCAAGCCUUUUUCUCAUUCUAGUUUAGUCAUAUGCCAGAUGAGUAUGCUUUAAUUGUUCAACCAUAUGUAAUAUUAUGUGUCAUUUUUAGUUUUAUUGGUUUCAUGUUUUCCAUUCAAUUUACCUUUGGUUUUUUGUUUAGUUUGUUUUUAUUUGGAUUUUUUAGUUGGAACCAUUAUGUGUUAAAUGUGUAUCCUCUUGAAAUAAUGGAAUGGUUUGUGUUUUAGCUAAAUGAGUGGUUGAAGGUAGCAACAAGAAGGGGAAAAAUACCACUCAAGGGUGUGCUAAGUGUGUUAUUGCUUCCUCUUCUUCUUUGGCUUGUUUGAUUUCUUCCUUCACCCACAUUUGAGCAUAUUGUAUUCACUGAAUCACUGCAGAGCCAAUUACAACUAAUUCUACAGACCCAAGGUGGAAAUGGUUCAAGGUAUUGGAAAUUGCUUAGGUGCUUUAGAUGGAACCCGCAUCAAGAUUAGGGUUCCAACAGUUGAUAAACCUAGAUAUCGAACGCGAAAAGGUGACAUAGCAACAAAUAUGUUAGGUGUUUGUACACCUGAUAUGCGUUUUGUUUAUGUUCUUCCUGGUUGGGAAGGUUCUGUUGCUGAUGGACGAGUUCUUCGAGAUGCCAUUAGUAGGAGACAUGGACUAAAAGUUUCUCAUGGUUGUUAUUAUCUAGUUGAUGCUGGAUACACAAAUUGCGAGGGAUUUCUUGCACCUUUUAGAGGACAAAGAUAUCAUUUGAAUGAGUGGCGUCACGGUUACCAACCAAGUACUCCGAAAGAAUUUUUCAAUAUGAAACAUGCUUCAGCACGUAAUGUUAUUAAAAGAUUCUUUGGGUUAUUAAAACUUAGAUGGGGAAUACUUAGGAGUCCAUCAUUCUAUCCUGUGAGGGUGCACAACAGAAUCAUUAUUGCAUGUUGUUUGCUCCAUAAUUUUAUUCGAACCUAUAUGAGUCUUGAUCCUAUUGAAGCGGAGUUGGGAGAAGGAUUACCUAGUAAUGUGAUAGAUGACGAUGAACCGAAUAUCGUAAACAUUCAUCCAUUGGAUGCAUGGGCUACUUGGAGGAUGGAACUAGCCAACCAAAUGUCCGAUGAAUGGCAAGCAUCUAGAAAUUAGUUAGGUUUAGGGUAAAAAUAGUAAACGUUAAUUUUUUAUGUUAUUUCAUGUAUCUAGUUUAUGAAACUUUGGUUGUGUUUGAAUUAUUUUUUGUAUUGCACUAGACUUAUUGAAUUAUAAUUUAUUUUCUUUUGAUUCAUCAUGUGUUAUAAUUUUAUAAAGUGUUGACCUUUUGAUUCAUAAUAUUGAACUUAAUUUUAAUUUAUUUUUUUCCUUAAGAUAGUUAUGUCAGGUUUUUCACAAUCAAGUGUUUUUUCCUAAAAUUCUCGAGGAACCAAAAGGAAAUGGGUUCCAAAAGAAGAUGCUGCGUUGGUUGCCUGUAUGGUCGACUUGCACAAUGUUGGAACCUUUAAUGUUGAUACGAGAUUCAAAGUCGAUUAUUUAAAUGAGUUGGAAAAAAUGUUAGAAAAAGUUCUACCUAAUGCCAUGUUGAAGGCUAAACCUAAUCUUGAAUCGAGGAUUAGGACAUUGAAAAGGGAUUGGUCAAUCGUUUAUGACAUGCUUAGUGGAAAAAACAAUAGCAGUUUUGGUUGGGAUGAGCAUAGGCAGCUUGUUGUUGCUGAAGAUGCGGUGUGAAACUCAUAUAUAAAUUCAUAAAGAAGUCGAUCAAUUCAAACAUUGUAGUUUCCCUUAUCAUGACCAACUUACUACCAUCUACUCAAAAGAUCGAGCCACUGGGAAAGAUGCUCAAACAACCGCUGAUAUUUUGAAGAAAUAAAUGUUGAGGAUGUAGCUACUACAAAUACUCAUGAAGAAAGAAAUGAUUUCUAUGGAUGCGAAGCUGAUGUUUCUUUGGAUGAUAUGGAUGUUUCAGCUACACAACCGCAACCAGCUAGAAACCAAGGUGAUUCCACAUUUUCAAAGAAGAAAAGAAAGAUUUCUGAUGCAAGUGAUUAUAUUUCUUCUACUUCAUUUCAUGAUGCUGCCACUUUAUUAGCGAAAAACAUACGGACCAUUGGCGUUGAAAUCAGUAGGAGUAUUGCCUCCAAAGUGCUAAUUCAACAAAAGUCAGAAAUGACCAUUCAAGAAAGAGCUCUAACAUUAUAUCCAACAUUAUGUGAAGUAGAAGGUUUAACUGAGGAUGAGCGCUAUCGAGCAUUGAGCAAAAUUUUAGGUCAUCCAAUGCAAAUGCUCAUUUUCUUUAGUUUACCUUUUUCUGUGCGAUUGGAAUGGGUCAGAAGAUAUCUUAUUGACCAUUAAAAAUCAUGGCUGUGUUGAUGAUAUUUUGGUAACUUUUUGUAUUUGUAAUAUUUGGAUGGUAUAAUGACAUGAUAGAAUGUCAUUACAAUGUUGUAACUUUUUGAUGUUGUAAAAUUUUAUAACAUAUGGAUUAUGACAUAUAAACUAAU